This 481-nucleotide ribosomal RNA is filed under the name uncultured bacterium. Its description in RNAcentral is "partial 16S ribosomal RNA". It matches the Rfam family "Bacterial small subunit ribosomal RNA", at positions 28 to 507 of the family's 1533-position model. The record is from RNAcentral.
GACGAACGUUGGCGGCGUGCUUAAUACAUGCAAGUCAACUGAAGCAGUGGUAGCAAUAUCGCUGUGGAGGUGGCGCACGGGUGAGUAACACGUAGGUAAUCUGCCUUCAGGUCUGGCAUAACUCCGGGAAACCGGGGCUAAUAGCAGAUGAUGCAGCGGCUCGACAUCGAGACAGUUGUUAAAGCUAUGGCGCCUGAAGAUGAGCCUGCGUCUGAUUAGCUAGUUGGCGGGGUAACGGCCCACCAAGGCAACGAUCAGUAGCUGGACUGAGAGGAUGAUCAGCCACACUGGAACUGAGACACGAUCCAGACUCCUACGGGAGGCAGCAGUAAGGAAUAUUGCUCAAUGGGAGAAAUCCUGAAGCAGCAACGCCGCGUGAGGGACGAAGGGCUUUUGCUUGUAAACCUCUGUAGUGAGAGAAAAAAAUCCCAAUCUUUGGGACAUGAUGGUAUCUCAAAAGUAAGCCCCGGCUAACUACGUG